CAGGGAAUAGUUUAUUAAAAAAUAUUAAUUUUGGAGAUUAAAGAAGAAUAAUAUAUAGUUUUUCUCUGA
Molecule: transfer RNA, 69 nt
Filed under: Eublaberus distanti
Lineage: Eukaryota; Metazoa; Arthropoda; Insecta; Blattodea; Blaberidae
Description: tRNA-Pro
Source: RNAcentral